UACGUAGGGCGCAAGCGUUGUCCGGAAUUAUUGGGCGUAAAGAGCUCGUAGGCGGUUUGUCGCGUCGGCUGUGAAAACUCGGGGCUCAACCCCGAGCCUGCAGUCGAUACGGGCAAACUCGAGUGCGGUAGGGGAGACUGGAAUUCCUGGUGUAGCGGUGAAAUGCGCAGAUAUCAGGAGGAACACCGGCGGCGAAGGCGGGUCUCUGGGCCGUAACUGACGCUGAGGAGCGAAAGCGUGGGGAGCGAACAGG
This 253-nucleotide ribosomal RNA is filed under the name uncultured bacterium. RNAcentral's name for it is "partial 16S ribosomal RNA". It matches the Rfam family "Bacterial small subunit ribosomal RNA", at positions 524 to 776 of the family's 1533-position model. The record is from RNAcentral.